RNAcentral lists this ribosomal RNA (481 nucleotides) under Staphylococcus aureus. Its description in RNAcentral is "bacterial SSU rRNA". It matches the Rfam family "Bacterial small subunit ribosomal RNA", at positions 43 to 506 of the family's 1533-position model. The record is from RNAcentral. Lineage: Bacteria; Bacillati; Bacillota; Bacilli; Caryophanales; Staphylococcaceae.
CGGGCGUCUUAACAUGCAAGUCGAGCGAUCGGACGAGAAGCUUGCUUCUCUGAUGUUAGCGGCGGACGGGUGAGUAACACGUGGAUAACCUACCUAUAAGACUGGGAUAACUUCGGGAAACCGGAGCUAAUACCGGAUAAUAUUUUGAACCGCAUGGUUCAAAAGUGAAAGACGGUCUUGCUGUCACUUAUAGAUGGAUCCGCGCUGCAUUAGCUAGUUGGUAAGGUAACGGCUUACCAAGGCAACGAUGCAUAGCCGACCUGAGAGGGUGAUCGGCCACACUGGAACUGAGACACGGUCCAGACUCCUACGGGAGGCAGCGUAGGGAAUCUUCCGCAAUGGGCGAAAGCCUGACGGAGCAACGCCGCGUGAGUGAUGAAGGUCUUCGGAUCGUAAAACUCUGUUAUUAGGGAAGAACAUAUGUGUAAGUAACUGUGCACAUCUUGACGGUACCUAAUCAGAAAGCCACGGCUAACUACAA